UACGUAGGGGGCAAGCGUUGUCCGGAUUUAUUGGGCGUAAAGAGCGUGUAGGCGGCUAGAUAGGUCCGUUGUGAAAACUCGAGGCUCAACCUCGAGACGUCGAUGGAAACCAUCUAGCUAGAGUCCGGAAGAGGAGAGUGGAAUUCCUGGUGUAGCGGUGGAAUGCGCAGAUAUCAGGAAGAACACCCGUGGCGAAGGCGGCUCUCUGGAACGCAACUGACGCUGAGACGCGAAAGCGUGGGGAGCAAACAGG
RNAcentral lists this ribosomal RNA (253 nucleotides) under uncultured bacterium. RNAcentral's name for it is "partial 16S ribosomal RNA". It matches the Rfam family "Bacterial small subunit ribosomal RNA", at positions 524 to 776 of the family's 1533-position model. The record is from RNAcentral.